Molecule: long non-coding RNA, 457 nt
Filed under: Homo sapiens (human)
Lineage: Eukaryota; Metazoa; Chordata; Mammalia; Primates; Hominidae
Description: HSALNT0175309
Source: RNAcentral
UCAGCUGCCAGCAAGUCCUGGAAGAGUUCCUGCAGAUCUUUUGUGUCUCUCUCACCCAUGCCUGCUGGAUGUUUCCUCUUGGUGCUGUGUCUGGGAGGGAGGGGCUGAAGGAGAUGAAACGUGCCCUUUAAAGAUCCUUGGCACUUCUUCUGAGAAAACUUAAGUCCUGUCCCACGUCUGGGACUGAUUAGGAAGCCGGGGCUGCACCUGGGUCUUCAGUGUUGAAGGUCUCAGAGGCCAUUUGUCCUGGUGGCCGUUCCAAGGACACAGCCAUCAAUCUGCGGCAGACGCGGGUCUCCCUCCCUCCUCCUGGAAUCCCCGCUUGCUCCUUGCUUGCUUCAGAACAGAUUGCCUCCCAGGCUGUUCCCCUCCCCCGGCCUCUCCUCCUCCUUGUCUCCCGGAUCCCAGGCCAGCAUCUUCUAUGAUUUCCCGUCCUGCGGUCCCCCUGCCCCUUCUU